RNA transcript from Gallus gallus (chicken), 16535 nucleotides. It is a transcript of the gene named high mobility group 20A, with no coding region annotated. The transcript is spliced from 21 exons. The record is from RefSeq and is marked provisional. NCBI's taxonomy places the organism in Eukaryota, Metazoa, Chordata, Aves, Galliformes, Phasianidae.
GCUCCCGGACUGCUGAGCAGAAGCAGUGAGGGUGAGCCGAGUUGCUGCUCUGUACCCGCCUGGCGGAGUUAUUCCCUGUGUCCCAGUGUAAGCUGAUACGAGUUGCUGAACUCUUGCUGCCCAUCCUGCCCUCCCCAGGCUGUGGCUGGAGGAACUUUACUCCCCCCAGUUGAAGCAUGCGUGGAACUGUGCUGGGUUUUGUAGCAUUGUGGCACGCGUUAUGGGACACACACCAGUGCUAAAGCAGCACAGGUGGAGCAGCUGUUCUUACAGCCAUAGAGACACUCCUCUGAUCAUCACCUCUGAGGGGGAGGGGUAACACAAGUGAGCACCAAUGUGCAUGUUUGAGGAGAGUAGGUGAAUUAAGCUUUUUCCUUUGGGCUCUUGUGCCAUAAUAAAAUGCCCUUUCAAUUUCUUGUUGAAUUGGCUUUGGAGAUCUUCCAGAUCUAUUUCCUUUGAGCUUUUUUUGUUUUACUUCCAUGAUUUCCUCUAGAAACAGGAGGGUAUUAUUUCCUGUGUUGAUGGAAACCGUUAAACUUUUUAAGAGUUGAAUAGGUGGAUAAAAACACUGUGGCUAUAAGUGCCUUGUUGGUAUGAAUGUACUAAGAACAAUUUGUUUUCAGAAAUGUCUUUUUUCUUUAAUUUUUAAAGCUGGUGGGGUUUUGAAAGCAGCUAAGGCUGUCCAAUAAUUCUGUACUGCUUUUUGAGGGCAAAGCGACUGGAAGUUAUUUAUACAUUGGCAUUGGUGUUGCUACCUGUAAGAUAGGUUUGGUGGCAAGAAACUGCAAACAUACCAGCCCUGUAUCAAUCUCUUCUGUAAUGAUGUGAUUGUGGGGGUGUACCUGUUUGUUAACGGUCUUAUUUAAGGAUUAAUGUGCAUAUCUGAAAAGAGUAGCUUGCAGUGUUAAUACCUGACUUGUAGGGGCAGCCCUGAGGUUGGGCGUUCUGUUUCUGAAGGCUGCUGAUGAAAGGUUUGAUACCAACAACUUUUGGGGAACUGCAGCUGGAGCUGGACUGGCAUGCCUUUGUGUGAAGCCUUCACUCAGAUUAUGAGUGCAGUUGGGGGUUAGGAGAAAGCAAAUGGAGUAGAAUAACUGAAUGCUGAGUUCUGGAUGUUAUUAGGCAAUCUUCAUUAUUCCUUGACCUUACUUCCCCAAAUGCUGAUGUGCUUUAAGCAGAGCUUGUCUUUCGCAAAUGAUGGUAAGAGCAUUCCUAUUAAAGAAACUUAAUCAGUAAAAAUGUUAAAUGGAAGCAGCAUUUCUUCAAACAGGCUUAUUAAAGAUUUUCAUCACAGAAACAGAUGAUUCUGCUCUUCUUUGCAGGACGCUAUAGCAGUAGCUGACUUUGGCUGAGUAAUUUCAGGUUUUUGAGCCAGGGAGCUAGCAUGGCUUAGAAUAAAUAACAAAAAGAAAUGUUGUUAUACUUCACUGUUUCUGAGAUUCUUGUGGGUUGGGUUGUUUUUCAGGUACACGGGAACCUGAGACUUGGGGAUGUUCUGCUCCGUUAUUAAGGCUGUGAUAAGUGAUGAGGUGAACAGCUGACACCCUUAACCUGUACUUUAUAAAUUGCUAUUGCGUGAAAAUUAGAAGAAUUGCUCCAGUCAAAAGGCUGAGUGACGUGAAGUUUUGUUACCACUGGCAACAAUGUGUGAAGUACAUCCUCAAGGGAAUGAGGAUAGUGAAAGUGUCAGUUAUUAACUGGAUUCAAGUGAUGUAGGACUGAUGGAAUUUGUUUCUGACUUGUUCUAUUUUUUAUUCCUCUGGUGUUGAAUACAGAAGAGUUCUUGGGUAAAGGUCUGCUCUCAUUCCAUUGGUGUUUUUAACUCUGAGAGGUUCAUAUCUUUAAUUAUUCUGUGGUAUUUGAGGGAUUGAUUGUGGCCAAAAGAAACUUGUGACAAAGUAUUAUUAAUCACCUUUCAAAAUAAGUCAUCUACACUAUUUGCUGGGACUUCAAAUAGGUGUUGGUGUGUCUGGUUUGGGCUUUGUGUUGUUCUGAAGGAGCUGGAGCCAGUGAGUCUUAGCUGCUGGUACUCUCUAGUGCCAGUACUCCUGCAGGCUCUGACAAGGUACUUCAAACAGCUGAUGAGAUGAAAGUGAUUUUUAUGUAGGUGCUGAACAAGCUAAGGAGUUUGUUCAAGCUGGAAACCAAACAUUUGCAUGAACACAGAGCUGAGUGUGGCUGGGUGUGAUGAGUGGUAAGGCCCAUGGUUAAACUAAUGUGAAGCUGCUCCAGGUACUGGAUGGGAGGGAGUACUGGACCUUAAAUGCUCUGGGUCAAUACUGUUGCUAAAAGUCCACUUGGGUUAUCCUGAUGUUUAUCUGACUGUGUAGCAGAUGAGGGGAUUUCACUGUCAGGAAAGAAUUCAUCCAUUUAAUGGCAUUGAGUUGCUGUCCCUUUGGCCCCCUAAAGCAGCAUGCUGCACAUCUGUGCACCACUUCUGGCUUGAGGGAAGGCUUGUGUGGUUUGCAGGACAUACAGGACAGUCCCCCUUGGUGCUGCUAGCUGCAAUGUGAAGUUGAACUGCAUGAGGAUAAUUAGCUACUCAAUGAAACAGUUACCCAGCUUGUCCCCUGCAUGUGGUGGCUGUCCCAGCACGUGCCGGGUAUGAGAGAUAUAUAUGUACACAAGGUUAAGGAAUGACCAGUGAGCAUUUUUUAUUUCUAUGAUGAGAUCUAAAUAUGUGUAUAAACUCGCAGUACAGUUACUUGCUUUAGUUGAAUGGGUUCUCAGUGUUAAAUAAAUGGUGGUCGGUAGAGUUGAAUUAGCUCUGUCCUGUCCUCUUCAGAUAAGUCGCAUGGAAUUAGCUAGUGUUUUUGUGGAUUUUUGUUUGUUGCUCAGAAAAGAAACAUUAUUUAGCUUGGAAUUUCCUCGGUUGCUGUUUCAAAGCCGUGGGGAUAAGAAGGCAUGAUGAUUUUUAGCCCUGGUGUAGUGUUUGCUGAAAACAAGGCAUGUGAGUGGAUGUUCUGUAAGAACGAACUGGCUGUUCCAUUUGUGUAAGAGCAGGUGAAGUAAUCAUCUCAUGGUUAUGAUUCUGGGGCCAUCGUUAUUUGUUGAUGCAAAGCUGAAUUUCUGAUUAAGUGAAAUCAAGAGCAUCCCACACCAGUGCUCAGAAGACGUGGUGUCUGGCAUCAUGAAUGGGAAAGUCAAGUGUCAGUCUCCAUAGCUGGGAGAGCAGAGGAGAGAACUGUGACAAAACAAGUUCUGGUAAUAGCAUGAGAAUAUACAACAGAAAAACAAAUCAGCAUCAAGCCAAGUAUUGGAAACAGUAAACUGUGAAUCUUCUUUCACACUUUUAACUCUAGAGUUUGCUAACAUUGCAUUUCUGCUAUGAAGGCGGGUGGGGGAAGUGUUCCCAGUAUGGGAUAAGUGGUGCACCGAGGUAGGAGGAAGUUUGUGUAUUAAGUAUGUUUUAGUGGUGUUUUUUAAUAAUACUACAAACCUCUUUCCGUGGUGCGGUGGUGGUUUUCUACUUCUCCACAGCUAGCUUUUCUUUAAGAACACACACCUCCUUGUAUUUGUUUUCACCUAUUCAGGGCGUUGACAAGGACGUCUUCUGUUACCGAACAGAUGGAAGUUCAGAAUUCAGGAGUUAAUCUAAGAAGAUGUUCCUUGUAAAGCUACCACUGCAUUGAAUACAUGAGUGUCUUGCUCUCAUAAGUCAAAUUAUAUAGGAUUUCUACAGUGGAUGAAUGUAUCUUUGAAGUCUCGAACUAUGUAGACAUUUUUAAGUGCUCUUAAGUUCUCCUGUAGGGUAUGUAUUUUAAUGAGUGAGUUCUACAUUAGUUCUUGCUUGUUGCAUCUCAGUGUUUGUGAUCAUUGCAGCAAAGGAGGGCUCUUAAACAGGAUCUGAAGCUCUGUGAUUCCAAACAGUUAACCCGGGAAUAACUUGUCAGGCUUAGUGGAGGUUGUGGAGCACUACACGAUACCAUGUGCUCACUUCUUCUGCUGGAGUUUAAACUUUGCCAGGGCAAGAUCAAAUAAUAGCCGUAGAAAUGAAGAUGUUCUUCAUCUGUGCCUGGGUAGCAAUGUAGUUAUCUAAAAGUAUGACAUAGUGGGUUCUUGUCAGCCCUGGCAUCCAGUUUAUUUCUGUGGCAGGUAACCAUAUCAAUGGCUUUUGGAGCAGACUGCUGGCUCAGGCUGUUACUGCAGUAUGCUGUAGUUGGAAUUGCACGUCUUAUGCUAUGGCUGAAAUGGAGCUGAGACAACCAAUAUUUGCCUUAAUCCUCACUGUUUCACUACACGGGAAUGAAUUUGUCUUUAACUAUUCUUCUGCUCAGUUUAAUUAAGGUAGAAGAGUAAAUAUUCUGCAAUUCAUAUAAGAUAUGAAGAAGCAACGUCAUAAAUAUCCCUUGUUAGAAAAAUAAUCAGAAUCUGUGGGAUUUAGAGUUCUCUAUUUCCAGACUCGUGGGAAAGAAUCUCAUCUUUCAUUAACAGAAUAAAUGUUUAGCUUUACAUUGGAAGGAAAAAAACCUGAAAAUGUCAAGUCAGCUUAUGAGAUAAUCCUAAUUUUUUUUCUGGUAUUCAGAUUUCCUCCCACUUAUGACUAUUUUAGGGCCCUCAGUUACUGGAAUCUUUUCCAGUGUUUUUCAUUUCUGACAUCACUUGAGUUGUAGGGGGAUAGAAGCUGAAUCUCAGGCCGUGGAGUUACAGAAAUUUAGGUCAGUAUUGGCUGUGCUACUUGCAUCCUUCUUUCCCGUGCCAGCUGCUGUGCUUGCUUCAUGCUGAACCAUUUCACCUGGUGUCAACUAAAAACAUACAUCAAUGCAAAACUACUGUUUCUUUAGCAUGUUAAUACACUGACAUUGUCUAAUGACCAGAGCUCUGCCAGUCUGAAGAUGCUGUGAUUGAAGUAGGUGGUAGUUAAAUAGGUUUAGGCUAAUCUCGCCUUUGGCAAUGGAGGACUGUUGUUUGUUCCUUCUAGGCUUGGCUUCUCUUCACUUGGGCAGAUGAUCUCAAAACUCUCAACGUCAGUCUGCUAGCAGAGAGAGUCCAGCUAGCAAGAACUGCUGGUAUCUGGGGGUGGCUCAUGUAAAUUUGUAUAUUGUGCUCACCACUGGUAGAAGUGGGAGGUUCCAUAUGCAUUCUUGCCUUUUUAUUUUUAUAAGCUCUGAUGUUUGAGCUCUCUGAGUCUUUUGAAGUAUGUAGCUGAGAUGGUGGAAGAUACCCAUCUUCUGUUCUUUCAUGCUCUUCUCCCAAAGGGAAGAAUUGCAGGGUUAGAAAAACUCAAUGAAAAGCCCACGCAUGGCCACAGGCAGGUGAGAAAGGAGCAAGCCUCUGUGGUUCAGUAGUCUUGUACCCUGCCCUUAAAUCUCGUUUGUAUCCAAAUACAUGAAGGUUCAGAAUGAGGCCUGAAAUGUUUGUGUUCUGCUGAAACUAAAUGUGGAAGAAAAAUCAUAUACUUUAAGCUCAGAAUAUGGGAAAGAUGGAAGGGAGAAGAAAAGCUGCUGAAUCAUUUGUUUGUGAUUCCUGAGUUUUUAAAUGCCAGUUUGGAGUCCCACAUAGGGCCUGAUUUAUCCUGCUUUCUGGAAUGCGAUGUUUUUGGACAAAAUGGCAUCAAUUUGAAAGUCGUUGAUUACUUGGACUUGCUGUCACUCAGUUCUGAGAACUACUUAGAGGUCUGUGUUCAGUCUGAAAGUGAUUGCAGGAGCUGCAUUUGUUUAACUUCUCAAGAGGAUAAGUUUAUCAAAUCACAGCCUGAUCAGAAUUUAUUGAUAAGCACUAUUAGCAUAUGGGCUCUAGCAUAAAAAAGCAGAACAAAAUCCAGCUGACGGCUACCAUGGGAAGCUGUACAAGGUCACUGUGUUACAAUCAAUCCUUACAACAGGUCUCAGUAACCAUUAUGUAACAUUUCCUUUAAGGUAAGUUAGUUGCGUGAUCUCAUUCCCAAUUAAGAGCAACUUGCUUUCUGUCCCGAAGCCGUUCCUCAGGAGGAUUACUGGAAAGACAUGUAUCAGAAGCAUGUAGGAAACAGCUGCUUACAAGAAACUUUCCAGCAUUUUCCUGAAGGUUGUUCCUAUACUGCUGUUAUUUGGAAGAGUAUUGUGUGUAUUGAUAUGCAAAUAGUGCACAGAAAGGGGUUACAUCUUCAUAUUGAUGAGUGGGAAGACAGAAGAGAUUGGAAAUCUCUUGCAUUUCCUAUGCAUUCAAAAAGACAGAAUUUCAGCUUUUAUCACAAUGUCUUAUUAUAGACUUCUGAGAAUUAUGUAUGCAGAACCCUUUUCUCUUCAUUGAUGUGAAAGUGUUUAAUCUCUACUCUGAGGUCAGUAGCGUUAGUCAGAUAAGUGUCUAUAAUUGAGUUCUUAUAGAGACAUUUAAUUAAUGCCUUUUAAAAUGUAGGCAUGCAGUACUCUGUAGCUGUGUUGCAUUGUUCUUUCCUCCCAGCUCGAGCGUCUGCUGAGAGAGGACAGUGCAGUGCUGAGCAGCAGGACUGUGGUAGCACAGCCUUGCAGCAGUGCAUUAUCUGAAGGCUGCUGUGGGAAAGGUACGCUGGUUAUCACAGGCAAAUAUUACUUAGCGAGCUGAGAGUUUACAGUAGGAAAUGUAUCAGUCAUACCUGUGGUUUUGAGACUUGGAAUGUAAGUGUCUGCUUCUGAACUUGCUCAGUAGCAUCUCAGUAGUUCAGCUACAUUUGUAUAACAUUGUAAUUGAAAAUAUAGAACCUUGAGGAAUCAAAGGCUUUUGCAAAUCAGAGUAACGAGUUUAGUGGCAUUUACUUGUGUUUCUACUGCUAAAUAGCUUAGAGUUUAAAAGAUAAACGAAGCACUAAGUAAUCAUCCCAAAUAAGCCAGACAGUACAUCAGCAAAAGCUGACAAGGAAUUAGGCAGUUAUCUUUGAGGGAACAAAGCGAGAAUGACAAAUCAGUGGAACAGUUGAUACAUCAGUUGCUUUUUGGCUGGUGAGUGUGUAGGAGGUGUUGCCACUGUUUGUGUUCAAUGCAGUGGCAAACCAUGAUUUGUAACUAGUUUUGGCCAGGAAUUCAGAAUUAUGGGAGGUUUGUGGACGUCCACAAGGAGGUGAUACCAUGUGGGACAGGUGAUAGAGCUGAAAGAGGUUGUAUUGAAGAGAGGAAACAAAGGCUAACAGGAUCUGGUUUUCUUAAAGCCAUAGUGAGAAAUUAAGGCAUCAGGUAGUGGUUCUUGGUGCAAAAAUGAAUUUAUCUAACUGUUGCAGUCUCUCAGUCACUAGCUGAAGCUUUUUAUUAUUAAAUUAAGUUCAAGUUUUAGGACAUUGCUCCUUGUUCUGUCACUGCACACCACUGAGAAGAGCCUGGCCUCAUCCAUUUGCCUCUCUUUUCAGAUUUAAGUUCCUACUGCCAUACACAUAACCCUCUUGUGAGGCUAGAAAUGAAAACUUACAUGUGAUGAAGAACUUGAUGUUACAGUAUCUUGUUCUUGGUCCCUCAGUUGUCAUCUCUAUGAUCUUGUAGAGUUAUAUGCAGUUUGCUAUGCCUUGUCAUCCACUUGAAGGACAGUGAGUGCUGAACAAGUGGGCUAAUUAGCAGAGUAGCAAGCACAGCAACCCCGAGCUAAUUGUUUGUUGGAAGAAAAUUAAAACUGCUCGUGAAUUAAGCCUACUUAAAAUCUCUGAAAUAUGAAUUCUGCAUAGUGAGCCUAACGUAUAAGUCCUGUCUGAAGUGGCAGCUUGCCAUUAUUUUCUACAGUGCUUUGAAACGGUUUAAAUUGGAGUAAGUACUUCUUUUACUCAGAAUGGAAACCAAGUCUGAGCUGAAUGUGGUGGGGGAGGGAGGCAGCCUUUGUGUGGGGUGCUGUGAUAGUCGAAGUCCAAAUGUAGCUCCGCUUACUGGAGGCAAAGUCCUGCUUUCCUCAUUAAGGUGCUCUCCAGAUUGUUCUUGUUAAUAGAUGAAUCAAGUGAACACUUACUGUAGUUGUGUGCUUUCCAUCUCUGAUACACUACUGGAAGAAUUGUUUAGUCAAGGCUGGAAGGGGUCCAUCAUAGAACAUCCCAAGUUGGAACGGACCCAUAAGGAUCAUUGAGUCUGUCUCCUGGCUCCAUGUAUUGCCUGAUACUCUUCUCUAUCCUUGUGGCAAUUGAAAGGAAUGUUUUCAGCUGCUUCUGCAUGCUGUUUUCUACUCGUCACAGUGUCUCCCAUAAGAACAAGCAGUGUUUAUUGCUGCAGUGGCACAAAAGCCAUCAAUGAGGAUGGCAAAUUUGCUGGUUUGCUCCUGUGUUGACCAGAAACUUUGAGCUGGACAGUCUGCCCUGGUGGUCUGCACACUCAAUGGUUUUUUUGUAGAGCAUAUUCAUUGUUCUUAGGAUCAGAAUAUUUUUCCACACGAAGUCUUAACUCUGAGUGAUAAUAAGUUUGAAAAGAAGUGAUAUUUGAGAUCUUAGAAGCAAAACCAGGAAAUACAGCAUAAGGACACAUUACUCACUGUGAGUGUGAGUGGAAAACUUACAGUGGUGGACAGAAAUUGGAUUAGAACAUACUGUCAUCCAUAAAAUAUUUCUGGAGGUCCUUUGAGUUUGGGCUUUUCUCAUGUUGUUCCCUUUUUGUUCCUGUGGAACUGGGUGGGGCUGGCCUACGAAGAAGUGUGGUGACUGACACAUGGCUUUGCUCAUUAAUGGUUUGCUGGGUGGGUCUUAGCAAAAUGGCUUGGAAUCUGCCGAAUUUUCUUUUGUGGCUGAGAGGUAUACAUUUAUGUAUACAAAGUGGGAUUAUGAGGUAGAACUGGAAAGUGCUGCCAGGAAGCAUUUUGAAACAGGUGUGUGAACAAGUUGGUGGGGAGUGAGACAUGGGUACUUGAGCAGAGUACAGUUUCAGUGGGAAGUAGAUGCUUCUUGCUUAGUAACUGUAACGCUCCUACUGUCCAAAAAUCCCAUUUUCACGGGCUAAAGUUUGGAAAAGCUUGAUUUAUUGGUGUAAUUGGAAAUAAUAAGCUUCCCCUUUUAGGUAUCAUUUACAUUCUGAAGCACAAGACCUAGUUACACUGUGGAUGGGAGAUGAGCAGCAUUGCUCCGUUGUCUCCCAGGACUCACUGCACAGUGCAGCCUGGUUCUGAAGGUUUGUCCCCUGCUGCAUUUAUUGGAGCUGUGGCAGAGAUGGCCAGCCUGCUGGGGGAGCUGUGUGCUUGCUGGGGGAGGACCAGGGUCCAUAUUUGUGUGUUUUGUUACAAAAAAGCAAGCUCACUGUAGAUGCAGACUAAACCUGCAGGAUUCUUCUUGGCAGGAUUACCAUGGGAUGUCAGAAUGCCAUGUGCAUGUUUUUUCUAUGGUUAUACAUAGAUGACCCUUUCUAGAGGUCAGGAAGCAGUUCCAGGGUGGGAAUUAGCCUUUCUGGCCAACUGCUAAAGACCAGGGAAGCCAAAUUUCCAUUACAGCAACAAAUGUUUAAUUUCAGGAAGUCUGUAAGCUCAAAUGUGAUUGUUAAAGCAUUCAUAAAACUGUAAUGCUUUCUACUUUUACAAUUGUAAUGUUGAAAAUGCAGUGUCAUGCUUUUUCUGGGAUGUGCAGGGAGGAGUAAAAGUACAGCUGGGAAUGCUUUUUGGGAGUAGCCCUUUCUAAAUGAAAUGAGAGUGCUGGUGGCUGAAAAGACAAUUGUCUAACCCAACUGCAAAGCCCCUGAGCUAAUGCUUGGGGUUAAAUGUGGUCACAGAUCUUCAGGAAUUACCUGAAGUACAGUGCUCAUUUCUGCCAGGCUGCAAAAGACAACCAAGGGGAGGAAGUUUCCUGAGGUGGUAGUACUGUGCCUGCAUUUACAUUGGAAAAUGUUUCAGUUCCACAAAUCCAAAAAUACAAGAGUAUUGCCUAAUGUUGUGUUUUCUACCAGUUUCCCUUGUCUCUGUUUCUGUUUGAGGCGACGAGCUUCUAAUUACUAGGUUGUAUGGAGGUGAGAUCGUAUGUUGUAGCCCUUCUGGAAUACAUGUGUUUUUCCUCUUUCUCACUUUAAUGCCAUAUAAACCAGUGUGUUAUUGACCCUCUGUCAUGGAUCUUGUGGCUUCGGUUCUCACUUCUCCUUCCAGUAAGACCCGCAUAUCGUAUGUUGCAGUCAGGUUGUCACAGCUACCUUUGUGGGUCUGAAAUGGGGUAAUGCUGGGCAGUGAGCGGGUAACCACAAGAAGAAAUAGUGCAUCAAGUGGUUUUUGUGGUGUCCACAAUAAAAGGGUUAAGGUUAGUAGCAUUUUUGAGACUGUUUAUGGAGUUCAGUUGUAUUCUUAGCUCUUACAAAUUUUGUAUACGACCUUCUUUAAAACAGCUGUGAUUCUUUAGCCAUAUAUAGAGAUGUUGGGAUAAUAUUUGUUUUAUCUCAGAGAAACCAUAUUUACUUAAGUAUAUAUGGAAACAAGCUCGUCAAAAGGAAAUUUAAAAGCAGUAUAGGUCUUUGCUAUUUGUUAAAUAUGGUAAAUAUUCAAACCUGAAUGCCAAAUACCUUUCAGAGCAUUUAAAAGUAAAGAUGAAUUAGGAACCAUUUAAGUGUAAGUGUUUGAGACUUUGGCUAUGACACAUGACAACUCCACCCUCCCGUCAGUUCAGUCUUCAGCUGAUAUGAAAACUUUUACAUUCUCUUUCAGGACUAGAUGUAUUGUGUACAUAGAUCAACUCUACUUUUCAGAGCUUGUGUGUUUCCUGCCUUCAAUUCCUUGUUUAUAGCGCCUGAGGAGCAGCAAUGAAAGAGGGAAGUUGGAAGCAGUUUAAACGUUAUAGGUCUUAAUCACAUUUGUUCUGGGUUCUUGUUUGCUCUUUGGCUCUGAGCUCUGCUCUAUUCUUAGUCACUAUUUUCCCUUUUCCCGUUUUGGCUUCUUGCAUGUGAUAAAAGAAAAAAAUGAUAGGCACAAAGAAGAGAUUGUGGCAUCAGUAAGGAAGGCAGUGGUAGAAGUGAGCGACUGUCUUCAGAGCAAUUCAUCCAGUCUGCUGGAGAUGGCCUGGGAGUCAGAGGAAGCAUUGCAAAUGUUUGUAUGCUGUUUUAAGCACUCAGUCUAGGAUGUUCAGAUGUGUUGCUGACAUGGCUUCUUUCUUUUUAAUCCUACUUCAGCAGCAGGAUGAAGUAUUUUUGGUUUGUAUGCUGCAGAUGCACCAGAAACAUGCUCUGUGCCUGCCUCUCUACCUCCCAGACAUCUCUCAUGCCUGAUUUAUGCUUAGAACUGGGAAGUGGUCAGCCUGCUCCAGUAGGUCUGUGCCAUGGGCGGAUAUCUCCCUUGUUUUGAAGUCAUGAUACAACGUGGCAUCAUUUCCUCUUGCCUUUAGAAGAUGAAGGAGAGGAUAAGUAAAGCUUUCUCUAACUUAUCUGCAUUCUCUUAUCAAUGGCUUUAUAGGGCCACAGAAGUACAUGGGUUCUCACAGGAUGUGAAAAUGUGUGUGCUUUCUCCCUUGGUGCGAGGGGAAUCCCGGUGUGUGCUCAGUGGGAGCAUGCAGUUAGUAGUCUUUGAGUUUCCCUAAAGCCUUUUGUUGGUGUUCUAACUGUAGUCUUUCCCUGUAUAAGUUCUUUACACGUUUCAUCUUGUUAGAAAAUCUUGUUAGGAAUAGUCAGAGGAACAAACUGCACUUCCAGGAGAGAGAAUGCUUUGUGGAGAUGCUUUCUAAGGAUGGUACUGUCCUUUCUAUUUCUGUUCCUUUUCAUGAAUCCAGACAAGGCUCUCCGAGUGCUGUCUACUGAUUUCUUCAUAGUUGCUUGAGCCUUGUAUCUUCUUUUGUGCUUGUUUUCCUUUUUCUGUCCUAAUCUGAGGUUCAUACCAUUUAUCUUCCGUGAUGCCAAUGGUGUGCUGUGUGGGAACCAUCCCAAAUUAAGGACUCUUUAGAACUGCCUUGUAUGAAGUGCACCAAAGCCUCUUUCUGAUGCAUGUUUAUCUGUUUCUAGAGAACUUUAAGAACAGAUGAGAAAAUCUAAGCUCCCCAAGCAGUCUAUUCCCAGUCUGCCCUGUUCUUUCUAUUAGGAAAAAAUGGCUAUUAUCAGUUCUGUUGGUCUUUUAAAGGGAAAGAAGUAGCAGAUCAGUGUGUAUCUUUCUGUUCUGCGCAGCAGAAAAGCUAAGAAAAAUGAUUUACUUUAAAUCAUAUUUUAAAACUUUUUUUGUGUUCAAAUAGUUCAAGGCAACAGCACACAUAAGAAAAAUGAGAACAGAAGCGUAUGGAAAUGGAGUCAUUUUUCUCUGAAGAUGAGUCCUGUCUGAAAAGGAGCAGAAUCGGUUGUCUGUUCUGUGUGAGAAUCAUUUAUUCUUCCCACACUUCAUUUCCUCUAACCUUUGUCCCUGUGCCAUAUCAGCGCAUGUAAAACAUCCAGUUCCAUGCUGUCGUUGUUGCUCUUGGGGUCAGAGCAGAUGCUUUUGUGUUGGGUCACGGAGCCUGUGAGGUAUGGAGAACUUGGUGGCUGGCUCUACUCUUCCUCCACUUUUUGCAGAUGAAGAUGGAUCUAAGGAAGGUAGUGAUGUUACUGUGACCGGAUUAGCUCAUUCUGAGAGCUCGUUCACUGGUGGAACUUCGCAGCCUGUGAAUAACCCAGAUUUGGUGGAGGAUUUGUCACAGGUUCAGCAGCUGCAAAAUGAGUCUACUAACACUGCUGAAAACACUGAGCAGAAGCCUGAGGAGGAGCAGCAAAGAACUAAACGAGGAGGCUGGGCGAAAGGGAGAAAGAGGAAGAAACCUCUUAGGGACAGCAAUGCCCCCAAGUCCCCCCUCACAGGGUACGUGCGAUUCAUGAAUGAGCGUAGGGAGCAGCUUCGAGCGAAGAGGCCCGAAGUCCCUUUCCCAGAGAUCACCAGGAUGCUGGGCAACGAGUGGAGCAAACUUCCUCCUGAGGAGAAACGGCGAUACCUUGAUGAAGCAGAUAGAGAUAAGGAGCGGUACAUGCGAGAACUGGAGCAGUAUCAGAAGACUGAAGCCUACAAAGUCUUUAGCAGGAAAGCACAGGACAGACAGAAAGGCAAAUCACACCGACAAGAUGGAGCAAGGCAGCCAGUCCAUGAUCAUGAGAAAGAAGCAGACACAAAAGAGAGAUCUGUUUUUGAUAUCCCAAUAUUCACAGAAGAAUUUCUGAAUCAUAGUAAAGCACGUGAAGCCGAGCUGCGACAGCUGCGCAAAUCCAACAUGGAGUUCGAGGAGAGGAAUGCUGCUCUGCAGAAACACGUGGAGAGUAUGCGUACAGCAGUGGAGAAAUUGGAGGUGGAUGUAAUACAAGAGCGUAGCCGCAACACUGUGCUGCAGCAGCAUUUGGAGACCUUACGGCAAGCGCUCACAACCAGCUUUGCUGGAGUCCCGCUACCAGGUAGUGGGGAAACACCCACGAUGGAAACUAUUGAUUCCUACAUGAAUAGGCUGCACGGCAUUAUUAUGGCUAACCCACAGGAGAAUGAGAACCUCAUAGCUACAGUCCGGGAUGUGGUGAACAGACUUGAACGCUAGUGACCAGGUCUCAUGAUCCGGGGAUACUUGACAAAAUUUCUUUGGCCAGUGUGGAAUAUGAAGCCAUGAGGGAAAGACGUGGGGUGGGAGGCAGAACUGCAGAGGAGAAAAAAAAAGUCCUUCCAGGAGCCCACUUUCUUUGUAUCAGAUGAAUAUAUAUGCAGUAAUUUGCCAGCUUAUUGGAGACAGAAGCUGAAAUAUGCUCGGAGCAGUUAUAUUCAACCAUAUGUUCUCUCUAGUUAGGAGCAGAGGAGAUAAAAAUCAAAAGCUGGUGAAGCUUUAGCACCUGCCUCGAGCACAGUUCAGCUGAUGAUAACCACCAGUCACUGCUCUCAGCAAGAGACCUGAUUCUACCCAUCAUGCUUGGACUGAGACAGGCUAGAAUCCAAAAAUGCAAAUACCGACCAGAAAACUGCUGUUUUCUUCUUAACCCUGGUUAUCAGCGGGCUGUGGAUGCUCGGGGAGUAAAGCCUGGUGACAGCGGGUUGUCACACUGGCAAGAUAGGAUUGUGCUCAGGACAGAGCAAGUUGAAGAAAGCAAAAGGGAACUCUGACUGGGAGAGCCUUGCAAUGGGACAGCAGCCAGAAGGGCACCUGAGCAGCAGAGCACUUUGGUAGCAGUGAGAAAAGUCAAUACGGGUUCUGAUAGCGCAGCAGCACUCAGCAGGCUCAUCGCUUUCUCUGACCUACAGUGCUGACAUCCAAACUGAAAGGACUACAUUUAAGUGUCAAAGAGAUUCCCAGCCAUCUGGUGCCUCACCAGCUGCUCUCGGUGCAGGAUGAAACUUAUCUCAAUUCAGGAACCCAGGCCUCGGGCAGUGGGGUGGAAGGAGCAUCGCUGGCCUCGCAAGUGCUGUCUGCAGGAUGCGCGCCCAGACUGGUCUACUGCUUGCAGUGCAGACGUUGGAAAUUGGAUGAAUCUCUCGUGGUAUCUCCCAGUUUGGUCAGCACAAGCAGAGCGUUUCCCCCGUGUUGCAGUGGAGAAAGACUUGGAUCAGCCCUGUUUGUCCCAUGCAGUGGCUCAUCAGAUGUUUCUAGAGAAGCUUCUGUGAUGUCCUUCCUUCAACAACCCGUGCACUUGGGCACCUGGACAGCAGUGAGUAGCAGCCUUGCUGAUGGAAAGAAGAUGCUGUCUGGAUGACUGGUUCCCAUGGAAAGCAAGGAAGCUCCCCGGCCGUGGCUGUUGUGCAUGUUGGAGGAGAUGCAUCACUGAAGGAUUAAAAUACAACUGCUGUGAGCUGGGAAGCAAAGCAGGCCAGGACUAGAAGCUGCCGUGGAAGGAGAGGCACAUGAUGAAGUCUCCAGAGCUGCCUGCUGAUGGGACCCACGGCCAGCAUCCUGCACCCUGCUCUGGGCACCCAGGGACCCCCAGCACUGCCCGAGUCCACCAGGAGACAGCCCAGAAACCUCAGGUGUCGUGGGGGGGAACACUGUACUUUGUUGAGGUUCACACUGCUCCUCUGAUCCUUGGCUCAGCUGAGUGCAUUGUUUUAAAGGGAAAGAGGAAAAAUCCCCUUCACGGGGCAAUAUUUCUUUAGUACCUCAGUAAUGUAGGUGGAUUGGGAAAUGAACCGUUCCCCAUUACAGUGGGACCUAACUGCACAGCCCAUGCUUUCCAGUUAAAAUUUGAUUGCCUUGAAUCCUGAAGAUUAUGGAAAAUAAGAAAAAGGCCCAGUAAAAUUUAUGGCUUUUAAUCAUAAAGCAGUAGAAUUGCAGUAAAUCUAUCAUAAGCAAGCAGAUAAGCAGCAAGGGACCCAGAAAAAAGGGAAGCCAUAGGCCUGGUUCUGGGUCUGGAGGAGCAGGGCUUCAGGGUGGAGCAGGGCUGCAGCUCCCACCUCCUCCAGGGUGCCCAUCCCACAUGUGCAGGGCCCUUCUGUGCCAUCCUGCAGAGUCAGGUGCCACGGGCCACAAGGCAUGGUCUGGUAGAGAGCUGGGCAGGGGUAGGGGGCAUGUAGAUAGUGAGGAGUGGUGAGGUGGGAGCAGGGGAUGGGGCAGGAUGGGGGAGACCAUCACUCCCAUUUUUAAGAAAGGGAGACCUGAAUAACUGCAGACUGGGAAGAUCGUGGAGAAGAGCCUCCUGAAAGAGAUGUUAAGGCACAUGAGGGAUGAGGAGGUGAUCCGAGGCGUCUAGUAUGGCUUAACCAAGGGCAGAUUGUGCCUGACCCAUCUGAUGGCCUUCUAUGAUGGAAUGAUGGCAUUGGUGUACAAAAACUGAACGUGCUCCUGCAGCCUGGAAGGCCAAUGGCAUCCUGGGAUUGUCCCCCCCUAUUCUGCCCUUAUGAGGCCCCAUCUGGAGUGCCUGCACCCAACUGGAGUUGUGCAGGCCUGGGGCCCCCAGCACAAGAAGGAUGUGGAGCAUCCCCUCCACACACAGGGUGCAGGAUGGGACCCACUGAGGUGUGUGAUGAGAGGAGACCAUGGAGAGCGAGGAGAGCACGGACAGGGGGAUGGCAGCAGGGAGGGAGGUGCACAGAGUGAAAAGCAUCUGUCUGUGCUGCACAGCCCGUGGUUACCUGACGAGCAGUGCUGGCAGGCAGCCCUGCUCUCACCUGGUUAAACUGCAAUAGAAACACACUGUAAAUUUCAGCAAAGGAGAGAGAAAGAGUUUAUUCUAUCUUUUUUUUUUCCCUCCCCAUCUUUAUGGCCAUGAAAAUUGCUGAUCUGAGAUGCUGGCCCUUUUAAAAUGCUUUUCUUCUGCUCCGUCCAUCUGCUUUAAUCACCCGAUGACUGCGGAAAAGAAAGGAUCCAGCAGCUCACAGAGCAUCAGAGAUAAAGAAGUGGAUGGUGCACUGCCAGAUUUCCAGACGAGCCUGGAAGCCAAAUUCCCUCGGACGUGCCUGAGGGUGCUUGCAAGUCUGACUGCCAGCUGCCAUGUGCCCAAAUCCUCCGUGAGAGUCAUUGCAGAAUUAUAUCUGACACCAGAGUCUAUCAGACAAAGUCCUUACAAACACAGGAGUCCUGAAGACAUCGGCUGAAUGUUUUCCUGGUAUAAAGAAGAAGAGGAGGAGAAAGAGGUGGUGACGGUGCAGGUGCAGAGAGUUUGGACUGGGGCGGAGGGCGUGGUGGAAGGAGAGAGGUCGGUAUGUUUGUACCAAUGUUUUUAAAUCACUUUUUUAUUUGUUCAUAGGUUCUCUUUGUUUAAAAAAACAAAAAACAAAAAACAAAACCCAAAACUAUUUGCAAA